UGUUCAAAGCAGUGAGGGGAUAUUGGUCAAUAGCCUGGCAGCUGAACCAGCAACUUGGAUGAAUGUAUAGGGAAAACUGGUAAAAUGUGAUGUACCUAGUAAUAUUAGAAAUUAAUAUGAGAUUAACUAAGUUAAUUAAAGUUCUAAAUAGAUAUCUGAUUAUGACAAUAUCUAUAUAAGUCUUGACCAAGUCACGUGCCAGCAGUCGCGGUAAUACGUGGUAGACGAGUGUUAUUCAUCUUUAAUGGGUUUAAAGGGUACCUAGACGGUUAAUUAAGCAAACACAUGUACUAAUUAACUAGAGUUUAAUGUAAGAAGGAUUGAGUACGGUGAGUGGAGAAAUAGAAUUCUUUGAUACCGCUUAGGAACUGACAAAGGCGAAGGCAACCUUCAAUGUAAAAACUGACGUUAAGGGACGAAGGCUCAUAUGAAAUAAUAGGAUUAGAUACCCUAGUAUUGUGGGCAGAAAAUGAUGAGUGUCAUAUGCAAGGUAUUUUUUGUGUAUAAAUGAAAGUGUAAGCACUCCACCUCAAGAGUAACGUGGCAACAUGGGAACUGAAAUCAUUAGACCGUUUCUGAAACUCGUAGUGAAGUAUGUUGUUUAAUUUGAUGGUCCACAAAUAACCUUACCACAAUUUGUAUAACUAUGAUAUUAUAAAAAAUAGUUACAAGCGUUGCACGGCUGUCUUCAGUCAAUGUUGUGAAACUUUGGUUAGAUCCAUUGAAUUGACGUAAACCCUUACUUUAUUUAUUAUAAAGUAGUUCGCCGCUAUAUUGGUAGUGAUAUAUGGGACUAGGACAAGUCAUCAUGACCUGACCAUUGUGGGCUAUAGACGUGCCACAU
This 844-nucleotide ribosomal RNA is filed under the name Compositrema cerebriforme. RNAcentral's name for it is "SSU rRNA". It matches the Rfam family "Bacterial small subunit ribosomal RNA", at positions 343 to 1230 of the family's 1533-position model. The record is from RNAcentral. Lineage: Eukaryota; Fungi; Ascomycota; Lecanoromycetes; Ostropales; Graphidaceae.